This is a long non-coding RNA of Gymnogyps californianus (California condor), 1091 nucleotides long. RefSeq lists it as uncharacterized. The transcript has 3 exons. The record is from RefSeq and is a predicted model, not a curated record. Lineage: Eukaryota; Metazoa; Chordata; Aves; Accipitriformes; Cathartidae.
GUGUGCUGCAAUCCGGGCGGGCAAGGUUGCAUCUCCUUAACUCCUGCCUCGCCGGCAGCGCUCCCCGGAGCCCCGCUCCCCCCCGGCUCAGGCUCCGCCGCUCAGCCCCCGCUGUACCGCGCUGCCUCCCGCCUUCCUCCCCCCCACCCACCAAGCCGCGAUGCAGCAGCGGGGAUGGAGUUGUAGUGGUGCUGGGUGGAGGGGGUGAGAGAUUGGCUAUAAGGAGAAGGCUGACGGCUGCAGCAUGAAGCGCAUUAUUACCUUGUGAUUCCAUGACCCUCCUCUAUGCAUCCCUAACUCUCGAAAGCUGAUUCAGCUUUCAGCUAGUGCUCUGGUGAGUCCUCUGCUGCAACAGAAGCUCCUAACUGAGGAGACUACCUCUUCAAAGAUGGCAAGCAUGCCUUCAGAUACAGACGAGGCAACCUAGAUGGAUGGCGGAGAGAGGGAGGCGAGUGAACUGGGAAGACAGAGAUUUUCCCGGAGAGCAAAAUGAACCCUUUACGAAGCCUUUGGGAUUAAAGAGGUGGCUUAAUUCUUUCACAGCGUCCACCCUUCAACCCAUUUAAGCACCAUGCCAUUUCCAAGAAAUGAAGGGCAAAGAAGCACUGAUGAGCAAUAAAGAGAUAAGCAGCAAAGUACUCGUAUCACCGGUGUUUUCCAGUGAAAAAUGAACCCUCAAGCACACCCAGUGAUUUGUUGUCUAAGCGAGUGGCAAAGUUCACCCAAGUUCCUGAUUUUGCUUCCAGCAGAGAUGCUCAUUGCUCAUUCUCACACCCUGGAGCAACUCGGACUCAUUAUGCGGCACUUGCUCUUCCCACCCGCACCUGCCUGCACGCGAGGUGGGACCACCGCCGCCGCCGCAGCGGGGACCUGCGCUCGCUGCUGGUGCGGAGACAAAAAGAGGGGAGCAAAACUGUCAUUCUCCCUGUGCCUACAGCUAGGAACUUGUGGGAAAUUAUAACCAACCUGGCAAUUUUUUAUUAUGCUUUAGUACAACAUGAUAGGCUAUGGUUUCGUGUGGUUUAAGAGAAAAUCAAGCCUAGAAUAAAAGCCUUGUUUUUUAAGAAACACAUGUGUGUGUAUAUAUAUUA